UUUCUCAGCUUAGUGGCGAACGGGUGAGUAACGCGUGAGUAACCUGCCCUGAAGUGGGAGACAACAGUUGGAAACGACUGCUAAUACCGCAUAAGCCCACGAUCCGGCAUCGGAUUGAGGGAAAAGGAUUUAUUCGCUUCAGGAUGGACUCGCGUCCAAUUAGCUAGUUGGUGAGGUAACGGCCCACCAAGGCGACGAUUGGUAGCCGGACUGAGAGGUUGAACGGCCACAUUGGGACUGAGACACGGCCCAGACUCCUACGGGAGGCAGCAGUGGGGGAUAUUGCACAAUGGGGGAAACCCUGAUGCAGCGACGCCGCGUGGAGGAAGAAGGUUUUCGGAUUGUAAACUCCUGUCGUUAGGGACGAUAAUGACGGUACCUAACAAGAAAGCACCGGCUAACUACGUGCCAGCAGCCGCGGUAAAACGUAGGGUGCAAGCGUUGUCCGGAAUUACUGGGUGUAAAGGGAGCGCAGGCGGACCGGCAAGUUGGAAGUGAAAACUAUGGGCUCAACCCAUAAAUUGCUUUCAAAACUGCUGGCCUUGAGUAGUGCAGAGGUAGGUGGAAUUCCCGGUGUAGCGGUGGAAUGCGUAGAUAUCGGGAGGAACACCAGUGGCGAAGGCGACCUACUGGGCACCAACUGACGCUGAGGCUC
Molecule: ribosomal RNA, 655 nt
Filed under: uncultured bacterium
Lineage: Bacteria
Description: bacterial SSU rRNA
Rfam family: Bacterial small subunit ribosomal RNA
Source: RNAcentral